UCAAGCGAACAAGGGCGCAGGGCGAAUGCCUUGGCACUGGGAGCCGAUGAAAGACGUGAUAAGCUGCGAUAAGCUUCGGGGAGCUGCAAAUAAGCAUUGAUCCGGAGAUUUCUGAAUGAGGAAACUCACCUGGGUUCAUACUCAGGUACGUUGUACUGAAAUUCAAAAUAGGUACAUCGGGGGAACCGCCUGAACUGAAACAUCUAAGUAGGGCGAGGAAGAGACAUCAAACGAGAUUCCGUAAGUAGUGGCGAGCGAACGCGGAAGAGGGCAAACCGAAGGUAGAAAUACCUUCGGGGUACGGAGCGCAUUUAAGACUCAAGUUGUUAACCGAACGGCAUGGGAAGGCCGGUCAGAGAGUGUGAGAACCACGUAGGUGAAAACGGAGAGAGCUGCGCAGAUUCCAGAGUACGGCCAGACACGUGAAACCUGGUCGGAAGAUGGGGGGACCACCCUCCAACCCUAAAUACUACCCAGUGACCGAUAGCGUAUAGUACUGUGAAGGAAAGGUGAAAAGCACCCCGGGAGGGGAGUGAAAAAGAACCUGAAACCCUGUGCCUACAAGCACCUAGAGCACGUCAAUGUGUGAUAGGGUACUUUUUGUAGAACGGUCCGGCGAGCGAUUGUAUGCAGCAAGGUUAAGGACUUAAGGUCUGGAGCCGAAGCGAAAGCGAGUUUGAAAAGGGCGUUAAGUUGCAUAUAAUGGGCCCGAAACCGGGUGACCUACCCAUGGUCAGGUUGAAGUGGAAGUAAAAUUCCAUGGAGGACCGAACCGACCUCCGUUGAAAAGGCGGCGGAUGAACUGUGGGUAGCGGAGAAAUUCCAAUCGAACCCGGAGAUAGCUGGUUCUCCCCGAAAUAGUUUUAGGACUAGCCUCAAGUUAGAUACCUGGAGGUAAAGCACUGAAUAGCCUAGCGGCCGAGAGGUUAGCGAAGCUUAUCAAACUCAGAAUGCCAGAGUAUUGAUGCUUGGGAGUCAGACAGUGUCAGAUAAAUGUCAUUGUCAAAAGGGAAACAGCCCAGAUCUACAGCUAAGGUCCCAAAGUCAGGUUAAGUGGAAAACGAUGUGAAGAUACGCAGACAACCAGGAUGUUGGCUCAGAAGCAGCCACUCAUUCAAAGAGUGCGUAAUAGCUCACUGGUCGAGCGUCUUUGCGCGGAGAAUUUAACGGGGCUAAACCUGACACCGAAGCUUAGGCAAUCCAGCAAUGGAUUGGGUAGGGGAGCGUUGUAUACGCGGAGAAACAGUAGCGUAAGCGGCUGUGGAGUGUAUAGAAGUGAGAAUGCCGGAAUGAGUAGCGCGAAUGCAGUGAGAAUCUGCAUGGCCGAAAGCCUCAGGUUUUUGGAGGAAGGUUCGUCCGCUCCAAGUUAGUCGGGAGCUAAGGUGAGGCCGGAAGGCGUAGCCGAUGCACAGACGGUAGAGAUUCCGUCACCACCGAAAGAGUUAAGCACAGGGACACAUUUGAAGUCUCAGAGCCGGGUGUUGGUUCCGGUAGAGAUCGAGGGAAGUUAGUACCGAAGUCUGGGAUGGAAGAUGGCGAGAAAAGCUGUGUGUAUUUCUGAGGUGCCCGUACCGCAAACCGACACAGGUAGGUAGGAAGAAGAUUCUAAGGCCAACGGGAGAAGGGUUGUUAAGGAACUCGGCAAAUUGACCCCGUAACUUCGGGAGAAGGGGUGCUCCAGAGAUGGAGCCGCAGAGAAUCGGCCCAAGCAACUGUUUACCAAAAACACAGGUUUGUGCUAAAUCGAAAGAUGACGUAUACGAGCUGACGCCUGCCCGGUGCUGGAAGGUUAAGAGGAGAUGUGCAAGCAUUGAAUCGAAGCCCCAGUGAACGGCGGCCGUAACUAUAACGGUCCUAAGGUAGCGAAAUUCCUUGUCAGGUAAG
This 1884-nucleotide ribosomal RNA is filed under the name human gut metagenome. RNAcentral's name for it is "bacterial LSU rRNA". It matches the Rfam family "Bacterial large subunit ribosomal RNA", at positions 3 to 1980 of the family's 2925-position model. The record is from RNAcentral.